AGAGUUUGAUCAUGGCUCAGAACGAACGCUGGCGGCAUGGAUUAGGCAUGCAAGUCGAACGCUUGUAGCAAUACAGGAGUGGCGAAAGGGUGAGGAACACGUGAGUAACCUACCCUCAAGUUGGGAAUAACACCGGGAAACUGGUGCCAAUACCGAAUGUGGCUGUAGAACCGCAUGGUUCAACAGCUAAAGAUUUAUCGCUUGAGGAGGGGCUCGCGUCCCAUUAGCUAGUUGGUGAGGUAACGGCUCACCAAGGCAACGAUGGGUAGCUGGUCUGAGAGGAUGGCCAGCCACACUGGGACUGAGACACUGCCCAGACUCCUACGGGAGGCUGCAGUCGAGAAUCUUGGGCAAUGCGCGAAAGCGUGACCCAGCAAUGCCGCGUGCAGGAUGAAGGCCUUCGGGUUGUAACUGCUGUCACCCGGGACGAAGAAUUGACGGUACCGGGAGAGGAAGCCACGGCUAACUACGUGCCAGCAGCCGCGGUAAUACGUAGGUGGCGAGCGU
Molecule: ribosomal RNA, 507 nt
Filed under: uncultured bacterium
Lineage: Bacteria
Description: bacterial SSU rRNA
Rfam family: Bacterial small subunit ribosomal RNA
Source: RNAcentral